This is a long non-coding RNA of Xiphophorus hellerii (green swordtail), 1035 nucleotides long. RefSeq lists it as uncharacterized. The record is from RefSeq and is a predicted model, not a curated record. NCBI's taxonomy places the organism in Eukaryota, Metazoa, Chordata, Actinopteri, Cyprinodontiformes, Poeciliidae. The transcript has 2 exons.
GAAACACAAAGUCAUCAAGUGGGGGGUUCUUGCUUUUGCAUCCAUAAAAGGUUCACCGGUUACAUUCCUACUGUGUUAUAUGGAGAGAAAUACCUGUUGGUAAUAGGUAUGUUACUCAUUUGUUCAGUAGAUAGUAACCUAUAUUACCAAUAGGUAAUAGGUUACCUAAUAACAUACUUAUUAUUAGGUAUGUUGUCAAAUGUUGUAAAAUCCAGUAGGAUUUUACAACAUUUGAUUUCUAUAGUAAUUAUAGCAACCCAUCUCAGCAGAUAACAAAGGGUGAAGCUGAAAGGGAUCAGCCAGGGUUGUCCUUUCUGCCUCAUUUGUUCAGUAGAUAGUAAAUUCAAGCUUUUUUUUUUUGGUCUGAUUAUAUUUAUUUAUAUUUAUUUCAAAAACAAAUCUUAACUUUUACAAGUAAGCUGGAGAUGUUUUCUUUCUUUAGUAUGUCCAGAUAAUUUAGUACCAAUUUAUUUAUCUUACAAAAAUGCAUAAUGUCAUGUUUUAAUAUGCAACAACUACUUACUCUUUAAAUCAAAUUCAAACAUGUCAACCACAGAGGUCUGGUCUGUUUAGCAGUAGAUAACACAUCAAGUUAUGGCUUAUAUAACUUGAAGUUUUCUGAGCUUUUAGAGUUGCAUUCAACACAUUUCUGCCAACACUCAAUAAACUCUGAUUCCACAAACUUGAGAAGAUGCAGUGAGGUGGUUUGACUUUUAACAAAUGUUGUCUUCCUAUGUUUUUACACAUAGGAUAAAGAUAUCAUGAAUGUUUAACUGUGUUUUAAAGAUUCUCUAUUUACGCUACAAUAAUCCACUUCACAUCUGACAAAUAUGUUCUUGCUGUGGUUCCACUGCUCAACACAAGAGGACGCUCACUCCCAGUUGAUCAGUUAUGCUAACAGGCAGCGAGAAAGAUUGUCACAAACAGAAAACUCCUCCGUUCCAGUAGGAUUUUAACCAGGAUUCUUCACUGUUUAAUCGGAAUUCAAAUCUAUUUUGCAGAAAUUUAAUUUUAGUGUACAGUCAAUAUAGGUUA